This 586-nucleotide long non-coding RNA is filed under the name Cricetulus griseus (Chinese hamster). Its description in RNAcentral is "lncRNA (ENSCGRG00015030898.1)". The record is from RNAcentral. Lineage: Eukaryota; Metazoa; Chordata; Mammalia; Rodentia; Cricetidae.
GAGCAGUCAACAUGUAGCAGACAAAGGAGUUGCAGGUCCAGCAUUCCCCGAACCCAGGACCACUGUUUCAGGAAUAGAACCACUCACAAUGGAAUGAGCUCUCCCGUGUCAAUCACAAAUUAAGAAAAUGUUUCACAGUUGUAUCUUAUGGAGCUCUUUUGUCAGUGGUAUGUAUUUCCACUGAUUGUGUUUUCUUGUCAUUUAAGAUGUUUUCCCCAACCUUGAGGCUGGCUAUCCAAAAAGCCCAGUGGAUCCUUCUGGUCUCCAUUGAUGAAAGGAAUGUCUAGAUCCAUCUCCCAUGAUUGUGCUAGCAUCUGAACUCAGUUGGUUUAUAUGGAAGAGAGAAGUGCCUGCAGGAACCAUGCUACAUAUUCAACUGGAGAGGGAAUGCACAUCUUAUGGGAAUGGAAACUUUUGAUUGUUUCAGAUUCUAGAACAUGUUUGAGUUGGUCUUGAAUAAUACAUUGUUGUUCUUUUUUCUAUAUUCAAUUAAGUAAUCACAGAUAUAUAGUCAUUAAGAAUUUUAGGCUGAGAGGGACUACUAAGUAAUUUAGGUGGAUGGGUAAGUUAGGAUAAGACAAGAUAG